CUGAGUUUUAUCUCAUGUUCCUUUUCUUAUGAGGGAUACAGGGUCCAUGCUGCUCAGGCCGACUUCUCCUGUAAAAGGGGCUGAAUCUGAGUCAUUAGAGAACCACAUAUGGUUUCACUUCCAGUGACAUCUGGAAAGCAAGGGGUCAGGUAGCAUCACAGAGAUGUCCCGGUGAAAACGGGGACUGAGCUGACGCUGUUGUUCUCUUUGGGAGAUGAGUAGGGAGUGAAAUAGUCAGACCUUGAUGUGGAGGGAAUUUUAGUGAAGAAUUAGAAUAAUGUUUCUUUUCCUUUACUCACCUUCUCAAAUUACCUAAAGAGGAGAUGUAAGGACAGAGAAAAAUAGGGAAGAACAGCAGAAGGAGCUACUUGAGGGAUGACAGGAAUUUAAAUAAAAUCACAACCCUCCAGAAAGAACCGAAAGGUUUCCAACCUCAUUUACCUGAUAGAUGGGGUUUUACCAUGUUGACCAGGAUGGCCUUGAUCUCUUGACCUCGUGAUCUCCCUGCCACGGCCUCCCUGAACUGCUGGAAUUACAGGCUUCCAAGUGAGAAGUUCAGGGCUUCACAAUUGAGAACCAGAAAGAAAAGGAGAAACUGGCCUUUGUUGAGUAUCAACUGUCAACAUUCUUGGAUAAGAAAGUCACGGAUACAGAGUCCUGUCCUAACUCGGAAACUCUGCUCCACCACUAUCUGCAGAGGAGAAGAAGUAUUUAAGCUGAAUACGUCCAAGUUGAUGUGGAUAAAAACCCAAGGAACUUUUCCUAAAGGCUAAGAAUUCCUUCUGCAACAACCCUGACAAAUGAGCAUGGUACUUCCAGGAAAAUUUCUCCAGGGUAGUGAAGCUCAUUACCAGAGAGCCACCCAGACAGCAAGAUGAAGCUUAACAAGGAAUACAAGAACAGCCUCCACUUGGAUUCAAAAUCAGCAACUGCAAAAAUUUCAAGAUAAAAAGACCUCCCUAAUGAUAAAGAAACACAUACAGCAAAAACCUUCAGUUGACUCUGUCUUAUUUCAGCUAUGGAAUUUUAGAAUUGGGUGUAUGUGCACCUGAGCAGUAUUCUUUUCUUUGAUAUUUACAGAACCUGUUGGCCAACAUGUUUCCAGAAACAGAGAACCACUCACGACUUUCUAAUAAAGCUAUUCCACAUGUAGACAAACAUAUUCAAUGCUAGUACUAAAAUCUGUUCCUGUUUCGAAUUCUCAUAUCAUGCCUUAACUCCUGUCUUUUGGAACAACUUAGACUGUUUAUGUCUUAACCACAAACACCCUACCACAUACUUGAAGAAGAUUCCCAUAGUUACAGAACACAACUCUUUCCCAAAUAAAAUUUACCUUCACUUUUCCUGAUGAGACAUUGAAAUCUAUUAUUCUUCCCUAGUAGGAUGGAAGUUCUUUGAGUAAAUAUGAGGCAUGUGUGUCAAGGAAAAAGUGGAUGUUUGCUUAAACAAAGAAGUGAGAUCCUGGGAGAAGUCCAACAUGUCACAAUAUUUACCCUGAAAGACACUCAGGCUUAAAUAAAAAUAAAUCAAAUCUUUUAAUCUCCUCUUAACUUAUUUACCCAAAUGCGACAAUGAAUUUUCAUAUAUCACUUUAAAUUCCUGACACACACAAGCCAAAUAUUGAACGCUGAUU
Molecule: long non-coding RNA, 1633 nt
Organism: Callithrix jacchus (white-tufted-ear marmoset)
Lineage: Eukaryota; Metazoa; Chordata; Mammalia; Primates; Cebidae
Source: Ensembl